CACACACCUAGAUAUAAUUGUGAGAACACUUUAAGAAAACUAAGACCACUUUUCUUAGAAGAUAAUUGUAACAUGGCAUCACUCAAAGCUGAGAAACCUGUUGGCUCUCAGUCACCAGAGCAGGUUAAGAAAGAACCUACAAAACCUAGUGGUAGCACUCGAAAAGCUCCAGCUUCCAAGCCAACUCCAAAGAAAACUGAAAAGAGGUCUCGGCCUAAAAAGAAGGCAAGCAGCAGUAAAUAAGCAGAUAUAUCAAUAGUUGUUGGAAUCUUGUGGAGAGUUUGUAUACAUGCUGUCAUACAGGGCUCUUCCAUUAUGUUUUGCUUCUAGUACUUUACCACUUGCUUUUGUUGCUUAAUAGUCAUCUGCAUGUAACUCGAGUUUGCAAGCAUGCUAUCAUAUAAAUAAAAUAUACUUAUUAAUUAUGGAGACAA
This is a non-coding RNA of Cajanus cajan (pigeon pea), 434 nucleotides long. NCBI's taxonomy places the organism in Eukaryota, Viridiplantae, Streptophyta, Magnoliopsida, Fabales, Fabaceae. The record is from RefSeq and is a predicted model, not a curated record.